CCUACGGGCGGCAGCAGUGAGGAAUAUUGGUCAAUGGGCGGAAGCCUGAACCAGCCAAGUCGCGUGAGGGAUUAAGGCCCUGCGGGUCGUAAACCUCUUUUGCCGGGGAGCAGUGGUCCGGACGCGUCCGGACCGGGAGAGUACCCGGAGAAAAAGCAUCGGCUAACUCCGUGCCAGCAGCCGCGGUAAUACGGAGGAUGCGAGCGUUAUCCGGAUUUAUUGGGUUUAAAGGGUGCGUAGGCGGUUCGAUAAGUUAGAGGUGAAAUCCCGGGGCUCAACUCCGGCACUGCCUCUGAUACUGUCGGGCUAGAGUUUAGUUGCGGUAGGCGGAAUGUAUGGUGUAGCGGUGAAAUGCAUAGAGAUCAUACAGAACACCGAUUGCGAAGGCAGCUUACCAAACUACGACUGACGUUGAGGCACGAAAGCGUGGGGAGCAAACAGGAUUAGAUACCCGUGUAGUC
Molecule: ribosomal RNA, 461 nt
Filed under: uncultured bacterium
Lineage: Bacteria
Description: partial 16S ribosomal RNA
Rfam family: Bacterial small subunit ribosomal RNA
Source: RNAcentral